UCCACGUCAGCCAAUCAGAACGGCGCCCGGCGGUAAGAAGUACGUGCGGUGUCCGUGUAACUGCCUGCUGGUGUGCAGGGCGUCGGCGCAGCGCAUCGCCUGCCCCAGGCCGUACUGUGGGCGGAGCUCCCCGAACGCUCAUUGGCUCGCUGCCCGCACUGCCGCAAGGUGUAAGUCAGGCACCGCCCCCUUUUCCCCGCGGACACGCCUCCUUUUAUGUGUGGGUGUGGCCUCGCCCCUCUCCGGAGCUGACCACGCCCCCUCUGGCCCCGUCCAGGUCUGCGAUUGGCCGGCGGUUCCCACGGCGACGCUGCCUCUGCUGCCUAUUGGCCGCCCUGCUGAUGGGCGGGGCCGCGGCUGGGCUGGCGGUGAGGGGUGGGGAUAAAAGGGGGUGGGGAUAAAGGGAGUAAUGGGUGGGGCUUGAAGGGGGAGGGUGUUUGAGGGGUGGGACUUGAGUGGGUGGGGCCUUAAUGGGUGGAGCUUUAAAGGAGGAGGGGAGUAAAUUGGGUGGGAGAUGGAGGGCGGAGCUUUAAAGGGGGAGGGGCUUUAAAGGGUGGAGCUUAAAUGGGAGGGCAUUAAAAGGGGGAGUGGCUUUCAAGGGUGGGGCCUAAGUAGGUGGGAUUUGAAAUGGGAGGGGCUCUUAAGGGGUGGAGUUUAACAGGGUGGGAAUUUAAACGGGUGAGGGUUAAAGGGGUGGGGCUUUAAUGGGUGGGGCUUAAGUGGGUGGCGUUUUAAUAGGUGUGACUUAAGCGGGUGGGGUUU
RNAcentral lists this long non-coding RNA (762 nucleotides) under Junco hyemalis (dark-eyed junco). RNAcentral describes it as "lncRNA (ENSJHYG00000016760.1)". The record is from RNAcentral. Lineage: Eukaryota; Metazoa; Chordata; Aves; Passeriformes; Passerellidae.